AUUCUUUGUUUUUUUUAUAUUGGCAAUACUAUUUUAGUAUUGGAGCUGCACAUUUUUUUCUUGGCAUAAAUAGUUCCUUAGAACUAGAUCUAGAGUUGCACAAAUAGUUCAUUAGAACACAAAACUAAAAGGAAUUAUACAUAACAAUUACUUUAAGUAUUUAUAAGAGGCAAUACAAAAAUGUGCUCUGCUUCAACAUGAUAUAAAUUGCAUAUAAUACCUGAUUUAAAUAAUAUUAAUCAUAUUAACUAAUGGGGAUAUAUCUCCUUCAAAAUGUCUGAUGUUUCUCACAGUGGAGGGAAAAUGCAAUUAUAUGAGUUAUUGAGUUUCUUUUCAUUUCCAAAUAGUGGGAAGAUUUAAGGAGAAUCUUUUCUUUAAAGAAGUAGAAGAAUAAAUUACAGGACUGUUCUGAACUCAUUAAAAAUUAAAUUAGGCCCAUGUGCUUCAGCAACCCACCUGAGGAGCUUUAUGUACCAAACAUAGUCUUAGAGGAACACAAAGUAUGCCACAAAUUUUUGAACAAGCUUUUUGUGUAGUCACUCUCUUCACUAUUCUCCAUCUGUUCCUCCACACAUAGAUGAUAGUGUGUUGACUUCUAAUUGGCCUUUACACACAACACUUCCUGGAAAUUGCUCUUACUGGGGUACUGAUGAACUUAAUGUUGCUGAAACCGGUGGUCAGUUCCUUCAUUGCAUCUGGUGUCUCAGUAGCCUCCAACAUAGUGAACCACAUUCUCCUUCUUGAAACAUUUUCUUCGCUUGACUUGCACAACUGCACAUUCUUCCUUUUCGCCUGCCUCCCAGUACUCCUGUUCAGUCUCCUUACCUUGGCCCCUCCUUCCCCUCUGUUCAGACUCUAAAUGUUGGUAUCUCUGUUCAGGAUUCACUCCUGAGACUUUUCUUUUUACCCACAAAUAAUUUCACCCUAAAUUAUUUCAUUUACUCCUGUAGUUUUAAAAAUUAUCAUAUGCUUUUCUUUCCCAAAUUUACCUCUCCAGGACAUACAAGGAGCAUAAUGGUUCUAAAGUGACCAUGAAAGACCUAAGCAACCUCAUUCUACUUGGGACCUCAUUUUGCUCUGAAACUUAACCUCUGACCUACUGUAGUCCUAAAGUCAGGAAAAUACCACAGAAAAGCUCUGUGGAAACAGUUCUCAGAAAAGCUGCAGAUGGUGAUCACCUAAGAUAGGCCAAGAUAUCGAAAUAUCUGAAAUUCCAGAUGGCCCCCACCUAGGUGUGGUGACCAAUAUCUAAACUAGAAGCCCUGCAGCUUGGCACAUACCCCGCUUGCAACACCCUCACUGUUUAAACCAAUCAUUUUUAAGUGCAUCAACCCCUUGAACUAACCAAUAAUCCUUUCCAGAUUCUUUCCUGCCACUUGAUACGCUAAUCAUGUUUUAGAGUUGUUUUAUGAUUUUCCCGUGGUGUGUGAUGAUUUGCUAAGAGAUGUUAUGAUGUAUGUGAAGUCCCUACCUUUCCCAAAGAGUGUAUAAAACUGCUGCAAACCCUAGGCUCGGGGCCUCUCAGCGUCACCAGUUGCUGAGUGCAAGCGGAGGAUUGAGCUAGCUUGCAAUAAAC
RNAcentral lists this long non-coding RNA (1576 nucleotides) under Marmota monax (woodchuck). Lineage: Eukaryota; Metazoa; Chordata; Mammalia; Rodentia; Sciuridae. The record is from RNAcentral.